CGGACGGGUGAGGAAUACAUCGGAAUCUACUCUGUCGUGGGGGAUAACGUAGGGAAACUUACGCUAAUACCGCAUACGUCCUACGGGAGAAAGCAGGGGACCUUCGGGCCUUGCGCUAUCAGAUGAGCCUAGGUCGGAUUAGCUAGUUGGUGAGGUAAUGGCUCACCAAGGCGACGAUCCGUAACUGGUCUGAGAGGAUGAUCAGUCACACUGGAACUGAGACACGGUCCAGACUCCUACGGGAGGCAGCAGGC
Molecule: ribosomal RNA, 254 nt
Filed under: uncultured Pseudomonas sp.
Lineage: Bacteria; Pseudomonadati; Pseudomonadota; Gammaproteobacteria; Pseudomonadales; Pseudomonadaceae
Description: partial 16S ribosomal RNA
Rfam family: Bacterial small subunit ribosomal RNA
Source: RNAcentral